AAGAAAGGAGCCGUGGAAGACACACUUGCUGCUGUAACAAGCAUGGAGAAGACCAUGUGUAGGAGCUUUCUCCUCAUAAUUCUGACUUCAUGUUUCUGCGGUUAGUUGAACCUCCAUGAGGACGCUGAUUUAGUACCUUUGUGAAUUUAUAUUUUACAUAAACAUUUAGUAAUGGUUAGAACGGUUGUUUUUAAUAGUUUAGCCAUCAUCAUUCCCAGAGGAAAAAUUGUGAUAAACUCGAACUUUUUUGUCUGUCAUCUUGCUAAUGCCAUGCAGUGGCUAAAAAAUUUAGCUAGCAUAGAAUAGCCCAGAUUUGAAUUUCCACUGCCUGCUAGGGUUGCCAACCGUCCCUUAAAAUACGGAAUCGUCCUGUAUUUCGAAACAAAAGUACACGUCCCGUAUUGAGCUAAUAAGGGACGCACUUUGUCCCGUAAUACAGUGAGAAUCAAAAGUAGUCUAUAAAUGUUAAUGGAAUUAACGCUUUGUUUGAAAACAUAAUUCCCAGCCCCUCUCCUGCUUUGUGACCAAUGAGCUGACAGCACACUUAUGACAAUUCGAGUAUGACAAUUCAGAUUACCGCUCAUCUCAUUGGUCAGGAAAGGUCGCUUACGGAGAAAAUACCGGAAGACAACAGAUGACCACAACAAGAAGCAUGGCCAACAGGGGAACAAACGCCGACACUGCGGUGCAAGUCUCGGACGACAGUACACCUAAAGCUGGGCAGACACUGUGCGAUUUUUUCAGUCGCGUUAUUCAGCUCCUGCUCAAACUGCACGAUUGACUCGCAGGGGUUAGAAGUUGGGAGUUGGCAACCCUACUGCCUGCAGUUACCUGAGCUGAAGGUUUUCUUCAACAUGGACGAUAGUUCUGAUGAGCCUCAGCAUGAGCAGUUUGCUGGACGUGUUCAGUGUGACAAAGACGCUCUGACGACAGGACGAGUCAGACUUCAGCUGUCCAGAGUUAGGAGUAACGACUCGGGCCGCUACCUCUGCAGGAUGGCCACUCAGUUUGGAAAGAAGGUUAAAGAGUUCAGGCUCAACAUCACUGCAGCCACAGUGAAACCCAAGCCAGUGACAGCAACACGAGAACCAAACCGAAAACCUGAGAGAGGAGAAAGAAGCCUUUUUUCCAACUUGGCAUUGGGUGCAGGAUUGGCAGGAUGUCUGGCAGCCUUUGUCAUACCAAUCAUUUACCUCUUUACUCUAUACAGACAGGGGACAACUUAAAGUAUAAAACACAGUACACUCAGUCAUACAAUAGCUUCUGUAGACCUUGGUAGUGACUCUGCAGGGCUCUGGAACUUGGCUAGAGAUCGUCUGAUCACUGUCAGCGAGUUUAUUGGAUCUGGGUGAUUGUCCUCCUGGGAGAGACCAAUCUCAUCAGGAUGAAGACGAUUACUUAGAAAAACUGCAGUAACACUUCACUCUCAAGGAUUAAGUGGAAACAAAGAAUGGAAGCAAAGUGCCUGCUCAAGAAAGUGCAAUGAGGAACAUACAUGUUCUUCUGCUGCCCCCUGCUGCUCUGAAGAGAAAUGCAGGAGCUCAGUGACAAGCGCUGAGCAGGUCCUUCUGAGCUUUUGAAAAAGGUUGGACAUAAAUCACAGAAGUCUCUGAAUUCUCACAGUUUUCUACCUUAUUAGUGUUACAGCUGAAAUGUGAAUUUAAAAAAAGAGUAACAUCUAUAUUUAGUAAAAUAAGAGAAUACGGGUUUUUAAUGACCUUUUAUGUAUUGUUGAUAGUGACUCUGUUGUACUUUUAUUACUGGAUCUUAGUCCUGCAUUUGACACACUGGAAAAUAAGUUUGAUUUUCCAUGAUUAACAAUAAAAUGUAGAAAUCAUGUAGGAGAGUCAUGCCAGCAAUUAAAACCGCUUCCUGUAUCUCGUUAACCACACAAACACAAAUGAGGAAUACCUUACAAUAAUCAUCAAUCUUUCUUAGACUCAAACACAUGGAAAGAGUGAUCAGCAAUCAUUUUUGUCAUUUCAAGUCACAAUACCUAAAUUUUUAUUUUAUUGUUGUUAAGGAAAGAAAGUUUACCUCAUUUUUUCAUGUUAAUUUCAGUCAGGUUACGCUAUAAAAUUAGAUCACAGUCUUAAGAUAAUUGUGGAUCUGGGUCAUUGUCUGAAAACAGUUUUUUUUAAAAAUGAGGCUUGGGGGGAAAAUGUGACAGUGAUAUUGAGGCAAGUUGAGUCAGUGGCUGGAAUAUAACCCCAAAGAGUUUAUGUAGACUAUGUUCCUAGAAACGUCUGCGUUUAAGUGUUCAUUUCCAGUAUUCCACAGAAAAGCUAAAGAUGGCCAGACAGUGCAAAAGAUAAAGGCUUUGCAUUCUUAGAUGAUCUAAACAGAGCAGCAAUGCUCUGCAGCAAUUGAUGGAAGUGAAACUGAGCUCCAUACACAUAUUAGUCUUCCCAAGGGAGUAUGUAGUUGGUUCUGUUUGUUUUUCUGAUUGUUAGCAGUCUAGCUCGACAGUUGUCAGUAUUAUAUUAUAUCACAUUAUUUUGUGAUGGUAGAUACCAAUAAGUUUGAGUGGUUUUGAUUUUGGUGAAAAUGAGGUCAACAUAAAGAUCACACCAAAUGUGAAAAUCAGUAUAAAAGUUUAUGUUAUCCACAAUGUUUUAUGAAUUGUCUUCAAACUUCACAAUAUAAUAUGCUUCUGGGGACAUGAGUACCUAGGACACCUGAACAUUUGACCUGGACCCUUGUUAGCAGUCUACCAUGGAAAAAAAAACUUUAAAGAAACCACAAUGUCAUUAGAUAUAGUAUGAAAUAUCAUACGAAAGAACAUGGAGAGAGCUGCACAACACGCGUUAUUUUACGCUACCCAUUGCCUUUUGGGGGAGUGGUGUUCUGAGUCCUCUUGUCCAUCUUGUAGCUAACACACUAAAAUCACAAUUUAAUAUUUACUGAAAAUGUUUCUAUAGUAUGAACAGGAAACAAAUGUAUUUUUACCUUUAUUGAACUGAAGGCUCAAUAAAGUUUGAAAUUAUCUCAAGCCUUAAUGUGCAGUUUUAUUUACCCUUGUAGGGCCCAUUUUACCCCAACAUUGGGGCAAGUUGAGCCAUGUGCCUAAUGUUUUGAUAGGUCAUUGUUCUAAAAGCAAGGUGUUUGAUAACUGGACUGGUUCUUAUAUAGUUUCUUUGUCACUACUCAAAGAGUUUUAUCCAACUUGCCUCAUUCACAAAAGCACUUUUUUCCCUUUAAGCGCAGUUUAACAUUCACACUAAUGCAUCAGAGAGCAACUUGGGGUUACAUCUCUUGCACACUGCAGCCAGGGAUUGAACCACCAACCUUCCCAUUGUUAGAGGACCUGCUCUACCCAUGCUUUACAGAGUUCCUGUUUCACACAGUUAAUUGGCUGAGUUCCCUUUUUUGUUUACAUGGUCUGAAAAGGCAUCACUGUAUCACCAGCCCUGCAACUUUAGAAGCACACAUUACAGACAGGUUUCACUCUAUCCCACCUUUACCAGGUUUUGACAGAAACCUGGUAAAACACACAUAUUUGUGGUGAGACUCCGCAAGAGCCAUUUAAUUUGCGUAUUUUGACACUUGUCCACUUGUGUUGAAUUUUUGUAAUACACUUCUGUAUUUACAAACACUAUUAAAACAGUCUAUUUAAAAUCCACAGAUUGAAAGCAUACAUUCAGGAAGGCUGUGCAUUUAAAAGGCCAUAAGUAUUGUCCAAAGAAUCCAGUUGAUGGAUAAAACUUUGAUCAUGUUGUGAGGCAUAACAAACACCCCCCCCCCCCCCCCCCCCCAAAAAAAAGCCACCGUCCCCAUUGACACUUUAAAGUGAAAGGUGGGGCAUUCGUAAGAUUAGUGGCUGUUGCACCAAGCCUGGAAGUUCAUACGUGUCCAGCUGAUAGAGAUCACGUCCUCUAUCAUUAGGCAAAGGUUCUUGCUCUGUGCAGCUCUGGAAUAGCUUAUUUCGCCAUUCCCUCUUAAAUAAAGGUGCAUAAAACAAAGCACAGAUGGCCAGUAAGAUGGUUACAACUAGUGAUGGCCAAAUGAAGCUUUCCGAAGCACUGAAGCUUGUAUUGAAAAACGGUUCAUUACUCGAAGCUUUUCAACACAGUCCUCUCCGGUGACAUCUGGUGGUGAAAAUUUUGAAGAGCAGCUUGAAUCUGCAAAAUAAAACGGACUGCUCAAUUAUCACUGCUCACUCAAGAGUGGAGUUCUCUCUGAUAUUGGGCCACCGUUCCGUUGCUUUGAAGAUGUAAUUGGUUUGUUUUCUCGAUUGGGGGGCUGAAAAAAAUGUAAUGCGUAU
Astatotilapia calliptera (eastern happy) is the source of this 4264-nucleotide long non-coding RNA. Lineage: Eukaryota; Metazoa; Chordata; Actinopteri; Cichliformes; Cichlidae. The record is from Ensembl.